RNAcentral lists this ribosomal RNA (253 nucleotides) under uncultured bacterium. RNAcentral describes it as "partial 16S ribosomal RNA". It matches the Rfam family "Bacterial small subunit ribosomal RNA", at positions 524 to 776 of the family's 1533-position model. The record is from RNAcentral.
UACGGGGGGGGCAAGCGUUGUUCGGAAUUACUGGGCGUAAAGGGCUCGUAGGUGGCCAACUAAGUCAGACGUGAAAUCCCUCGGCUUAACCGGGGAACUGCGUCUGAUACUGGAUGGCUUGAGUUCGGGAGAGGGAUGCGGAAUUCCAGGUGUAGCGGUGAAAUGCGUAGAUAUCUGGAGGAACACCGGUGGCGAAGGCGGCAUCCUGGACCGGCAUUGACGCUGAGGCGCGAAAGCUAGGGGAGCAAACGGG